UGGGGAAUUUUGGCAAUGGGCGAAAGCCUGAUCCAGCAAUGCCGCGUGUGUGAAGAAGGCCUUCGGGUUGUAAAGCACUUUUGUCCGGAAAGAAAUCCUUGGCUCUAAUACAGUCGGGGGAUGACGGUACCGGAAGAAUAAGCACCGGCUAACUACGUGCCAGCAGCCGCGGUAAUACGUAGGGUGCAAGCGUUAAUCGGAAUUACUGGGCGUAAAGCGUGCGCAGGCGGUUUGCUAAGACCGAUGUGAAAUCCCCGGGCUCAACCUGGGAACUGCAUUGGUGACUGGCAGGCUAGAGUAUGGCAGAGGGGGGUAGAAUUCCACGUGUAGCAGUGAAAUGCGUAGAGAUGUGGAGGAAUACCGAUGGCGAAGGCAGCCCCCUGGGCAAUACUGACGCUCAUGCACGAAAGCGUGGGGAGCAAACAGGAUUAGAUACCCUGGUAGUCCACGCCCUAAACGAUGUCAACUAGUUGUUGGGGAUUCAUUUCCUUAGUAACGUAGCUAACGCGUGAAGUUGACCGCCUGGGGAGUACGGUCGCAAGAUUAAAACUUAAAGGAAUUGACGGGGUCAUAGCUGUUUCCU
This 583-nucleotide ribosomal RNA is filed under the name uncultured bacterium. RNAcentral's name for it is "partial 16S ribosomal RNA". It matches the Rfam family "Bacterial small subunit ribosomal RNA", at positions 355 to 1375 of the family's 1533-position model. The record is from RNAcentral.